Molecule: transfer RNA, 63 nt
Filed under: Scaphoideus maai
Lineage: Eukaryota; Metazoa; Arthropoda; Insecta; Hemiptera; Cicadellidae
Description: tRNA-Leu
Source: RNAcentral
AAUGAUUUGGCAGAAUAGUGUGUUAAAUUUAGAAUUUAUUAAAGUACGUUAGUACAUUCAUUU